GGGCUCGUAGCUCAGCGGCUAGGCGCACGGCUUAAGGCCGUGGCGUGAACGCAGGCGGUUGAGGGUUCGAUGGCGCGUCCAGUCCAUGGCCGGGCGCGGCGAGACUCCCUCCGAGCCCA
RNAcentral lists this transfer RNA (119 nucleotides) under Candidatus Aenigmatarchaeota archaeon. RNAcentral describes it as "tRNA-Leu". Lineage: Archaea; Nanobdellati; Candidatus Aenigmatarchaeota. The record is from RNAcentral.